This 450-nucleotide unclassified non-coding RNA is filed under the name Hevea brasiliensis (rubber tree). Lineage: Eukaryota; Viridiplantae; Streptophyta; Magnoliopsida; Malpighiales; Euphorbiaceae. The record is from RNAcentral.
GAAAGCUUCAACUUUUCGAUUUCUCUGUCCAAACCAUUCAUACAAUCAUUAGAAAUGAAAAGGACAUACAUGCAAAAUAUUAGCUUGAGAAUAUGUAAUGUUAAUAUGAUGACCAAGCAAUCCAUUAUACGUCAAAACAAAGAAGGGAUAUCAAAGAUAAAAUUAUAUUUUAGCAAGAUAAAUUCCAUAAUCAGAACAGGUUGCUAUGUUACUUCGAUAGCAAACUUUACCCAAAUUUUAUUUACUUCACCAAAAUUUAUUUAUUUCGAUAACCAUAGUUUACAUCACCAUCUUCAAAAAUUCAAUGAGAAAAAUUAACCCAAAAAAAAGAUGUCUAAAGCACAAAAUUAUUGCUUUCAUGUGAUGAAUGUCAUGACUAUAUUGCUGACUAAAUUCACCAUUAGGGGCAAAAAUGUGAUAACUUACGUUUUAGCAGCUUGCUUUCCUUUU